UGAGCUUGUAGUCCGCGGGUUCCCGUGAC
RNAcentral lists this non-coding RNA (29 nucleotides) under Bombyx mori (domestic silkworm). The record is from RNAcentral. Lineage: Eukaryota; Metazoa; Arthropoda; Insecta; Lepidoptera; Bombycidae.